AGGGUAAUAGUUCUGUGCUAGAGCUCGUGCUUAGCAUGCACAAGGUCCUGGGUUCAAUCCCCAGUGCCUCCA
RNAcentral lists this transfer RNA (72 nucleotides) under Camelus bactrianus (Bactrian camel). It matches the Rfam family "tRNA". Rfam says of the family: Transfer RNA (tRNA) molecules are approximately 80 nucleotides in length. Their secondary structure includes four short double-helical elements and three loops (D, anti-codon, and T loops). Further hydrogen bonds mediate the characteristic L-shaped molecular structure. tRNAs have two regions of fundamental functional importance: the anti-codon, which is responsible for specific mRNA codon recognition, and the 3' end, to which the tRNAs corresponding amino acid is attached (by aminoacyl-tRNA synthetases). tRNAs cope with the degeneracy of the genetic code in two manners: having more than one tRNA (with a specific anti-codon) for a particular amino acid; and 'wobble' base-pairing, i.e. permitting non-standard base-pairing at the 3rd anti-codon position. RNAcentral also lists the same sequence under 2 other names. The record is from Rfam by way of RNAcentral. Lineage: Eukaryota; Metazoa; Chordata; Mammalia; Artiodactyla; Camelidae.